This 493-nucleotide ribosomal RNA is filed under the name uncultured bacterium. RNAcentral's name for it is "partial 16S ribosomal RNA". It matches the Rfam family "Bacterial small subunit ribosomal RNA", at positions 27 to 507 of the family's 1533-position model. The record is from RNAcentral.
GGACGAACGCUGGCGGCGUGCUUAACACAUGCAAGUGGAGCGACGAACCAGGGCUUGCCCUGGGGCAGAGCCGCGAACGGGUGAGUAACACGUGGGUAACGUGCCCCGAUGACUGGGACAACCCGGGGAAACCCGGGCUAAUACCGGAUGUGCCCCCUCACAUCAGUGAGGUGUGUAAAGGAAGCUUCGGCCUCCGCAUCGGGAUCGGCCCGCGGCCCAUUAGCUUGUUGGUGAGGUAACGGCUCACCAAGGCUGCGAUGGGUAGCUGGUCUGAGAGGACGAUCAGCCACACUGGGACUGAGACACGGCCCAGACUCCUACGGGAGGCAGCAGUGGGGAAUCUUGCGCAAUGCGCGAAAGCGUGACGCAGCAACGCCGCGUGGGGGAAGACGGCCUUCGGGUUGUAAACCCCUUUCAGUUGGGACGAAGGUCGGGCGGUUAACAGCCGUUCCGGCUGACGGUACCUUCACAAGAAGCCCCGGCUAACUACGUG